RNAcentral lists this long non-coding RNA (514 nucleotides) under Malus domestica (apple). Its description in RNAcentral is "long non-coding RNA (MDOM_LNC008759)". The record is from RNAcentral. Lineage: Eukaryota; Viridiplantae; Streptophyta; Magnoliopsida; Rosales; Rosaceae.
UGGCACUAUGAGAAGAUGAUUUAUUUUCUUUAAUUUUUAAGAUAAUUUUUUGAUAUAACGAAUUUUGUUUCACCGUGUAGGCAUGGACAUAGUCAAAUUGGCUAGAACGAAUAUACACCUCAAUCCUUCCUCCAAGUUUAAAUUCGCUAUUUCAGAUUAGUUUAAAAUAAAACAGGAUUAGUUUAAAAUAAAACAAGAUUUGCUAAAUCCAUUCUCGUCAAUGCUAAAUUCAACAAGCACAUGGAUCCAAUACAUUCCAAACAUAUGUGUUCAGUUUGGCCCAAUUAAAGUUUUCAAUUUGGGCCUAUAUAGUAGUUGUGAGAGGAGCGAAUGUCACACACUUUUUUGGCAGCUCAUUUUAGGGUCGGUUUGGUUUUAUUUGGAUCGGUAUUCUUCAAACUCAAAAACCAAACCAACACUACCGUUCGGUUUAUUUUCAUUUAUUUGAUUGGGUUCUAAUUUUUUUUUUGUUAAUUUUAAUUUAGCAAAUGAGAGAUAGAUUAAGAGCUCUUUC